GAAAAGGUUUUUUUUGAAACCAAAUGAUUGAUCAAACAAAAUUCAU
Molecule: non-coding RNA, 46 nt
Organism: Lonchura striata (white-rumped munia)
Lineage: Eukaryota; Metazoa; Chordata; Aves; Passeriformes; Estrildidae
Source: Rfam